UUUUGAUCUGGGGACUGCAGAGCUGUGGGUGGUGUUAACUGUGGCCUCCUUGUAGAUCAGAGACAAACCAGGAAGAACUUCUAGAAGAGUGAGAAGCUAAACUAUACUGUUACCAAAUUAAUGUGCUUUUCUUGCUUAAGUCACUGCAAGGUUCAUCAUAGUCUCCAGUGGAGUCAGAAUUUCCUCUCCAGUACUUAAAAUUCUACCAGGUUAACAGAAAAAGACACAAAAAAUUACUUGCUGUUCAUUUUUGGAGACUAGAUAUAUUUAUAUGUGUAGUUGGUGUACUCCACUUAGCCACAUCCCAGCUCCAUGUUGUAGAAUACUCAACAUUCUUUAAGUUUUCCACUCCUAGGUGCCUUGACUUCUACUAGCUGGGAAUCUUGGCAUAUGUAAUGGAUAGAAAUCCUGGUCUGUGCUGAGCUUGUCUCUAGCCUGGAUGAUCACAGGAUACCCGAGAACAUCAUGGCACAUAUCCACACAUCACUUCAGAUGCAGCCCAAGAAAGUCUCUGUCUUCAGAAUGAAAGAGGUCCAGCAUGAAAAGGAAAGAGGGGAAAGAGAAGGAGAAACAAUUGGCCUGUCAGGGCUUCUGCUUCCUGCUCCUUAAUUUAUGUACAGAAAAUGAAAUGUUAACCGACUAUGAAAAUGUAUGCUGAAGCUAAAUAUUGGGUGCAGGGUGUACAGAUGAUAUUUAAGUAAUUACUUCCUGGAAGACCAGUUUUUUUUAGUAAGUAUACAUGCUUAAAUGUGAAAGUUAAUUCCUCAGCAUUGUACAUUUUAAUGCAUGGUGACCUUCCUUGAAACUCCCAAAGAAGCUCUAGAUAACUUUUUUAGGUACACAUUUCCCCAGCUUCAAUAUUCAACAUGGAC
Molecule: long non-coding RNA, 872 nt
Filed under: Parus major (Great Tit)
Lineage: Eukaryota; Metazoa; Chordata; Aves; Passeriformes; Paridae
Description: lncRNA (ENSPMJG00000009707.1)
Source: RNAcentral